UACCAGCACCCCGAGUGGUCGGGACGAUUAUUGGGCCUAAAGCAUCCGUAGCCGGUUCUACAAGUCUUCCGUUAAAUCCACCUGCUCAACAGAUGGGCUGCGGAGGAUACUAUAGAGCUAGGAGGCGGGAGAGGCAAGCGGUACUUAGUGGGUAGGGGUAAAAUCCGUUGAUCCAUUGAAGACCACCAGUGGCGAAGGCGGCUUGCCAGAACGCACUCGACGGUGAGGGAUGAAAGCGUGGGGAGCAAACAGG
Molecule: ribosomal RNA, 253 nt
Filed under: uncultured bacterium
Lineage: Bacteria
Description: partial 16S ribosomal RNA
Rfam family: Archaeal small subunit ribosomal RNA
Source: RNAcentral